AUUGGGAAUUAUCCAUAUUUAUGGAAAAUCAAAGAUAUGGGUAUCAAAUAAUGGAAAGUCAAAGAUAUGGGUAUCAAAUAUUGGAAAGUCAAAGAUAUGGGUAUCAAAUAUUGGAAAGUCAAAGAUAUGGGUAUCGAGAUAUUGGCAUAAUAAAAUCUGAGAUAUUUGCAAUCAAUGGUCCCUAAAUUGUAAAGUGACUUUGCAAGUUGAUCCCUGAACCUCAACUAUAAGUAGGCAUAACCAUCUCUCAUUCUGUAUCUCAAACUUGCCAUUCUCUACUUAAGGCAUUGUUUUCUCUCUCUCUCUUUGUAAAUUCUCACUUGUAUUUUGGAGUGAAAUAUAUUUGGUAGUGCCCGAGGACGUAGGCAAAAUUUGCUGAACCUCGUUAAAUUCUUGUGUUCUUUAUUGUAUUAUUCUGCAUGAAUUGUGUGUGUGAUUGUAGUAAUUUAUUGUGCUAUUAAAUUACGAUUGAGGGAUAUUCUGGCUAGGAAAGACCUGGUACUUAAGCGAUCCUUGCGAUCCACCUCUCUUUCCUGGGAAUUGAACUUAGUGUGAUUUUUUAGUACAAUAAUUUUACUCUUUUACACGCUUCCGCACAAUAAUUGGUAUCAGAGCUAGAUUCGUACUUGGGGAAUACGAUCGUUCACGGCACUGUUCAUGUACUGUAGUUGGGAUUAAGGAGAAAAAAAUGGAAAAGUCAUCGUCAAAGACUACUGUGACCAAUGCGAAAUUUGAAGUAGAGAAAUUUGAUGGUACCAAUAAUUUUGGUAUGUGGCAAUGUGAGAUCCUGGAUGUCUUAUGUCAGCAAGAGCUGGAUAUAGCCCUUGAAGAAAAACCUGACAAGAUGGAUGACAAGGAGUGGGCCAAGAUCAAUAGACAGGCAUGUGGAACAAUUCGCCUAUGUUUGGCCAAAGAGCAGAAGUACUCUGUCAUGAGGGAGACAUCAGCGAAGAAGUUGUGGGAUACACUGGACCGAAAAGUUUCUAACAAAAAGUCUUGAAAAUAGGCUUUAUAUGAAAAAGAAACUUUAUCGAUUCACGUAUGCACCCGGUAUGUCGAUGAAUGACUAUGUGAACUCAUUCAAUAAAAUUUUAGCAGACUUGCUAAAUUUGGAUGAGAAAUUUGAAGAUGAAGACAAGGCAUUACUGUUGUUGAAUUCUCUUCCUGAUGAAUAUGAUCAUCUUACCACCACAUUGCUUCAUGGGAAGGAUACAAUCACAUUUGAUGUAGUCUGUAGUGCGUUGUAUAGAUCUAAGACUCGAAAGAAAGAUAAAAAAGAUCACAGAGAUACAACUACAGAAGUCUUAACAGUAAGAAGUCGUUCGCGCAGCAACAAAUCUGGUAGAAGGAGUAAGUCCAAAGGGAGACCUGCCAAAGAUGAAUGUGCUUUUUGUCGUGAGAAAGGGCAUUGGAAAAAGAAUUGUCCUAAGUUACAAAAGGGUAAAGCUAUUUCUGAUGCAUGUGUAGCGGAGCAUGAUGAGGAGUCAGACUUUAGCUUGGUUGGCAUGGCAAUGGCAUGUCAAACGGAUGAGUGGAUUUUGGAUUCAGGAUGUACUUACCAUAUGUGUCCUAAUAAGGACUGGUUUUCUAGUCUUAAAGAGCUAGAAGGUGGAAUUGUUCUUAUGGGAAAUGAUAGUGCUUGUAAGACAAUGGGAGUGGGUACAGUCCAAUUGAAGAAUCACGACGGCUCAAUCCAAGUCUUGACAGAUGUUCGCUACGUACCUAGCCUGAAGAAAAAUCUCAUCUCAUUAGGUGCCCUAGAAUCUAAAGGGCUCACAAUCACUUUGAGAGAUGGAUUACUAAAAGUAGUAGCUGGGCAACUGACGGUGAUGAAAGGCACAAGAAGAAAUAACUUGUAUUUUUUAAAUGGAAGUACAGUUAUUGGAUCAACAUCAACAGUUUCUACAAAAGAUGUAGAUUCAGAGGCUACCAGAUUAUGGCAUAUGCGAUUAGGACAUGCUGGUGAAAAAGCUUUGCAGACAUUGGUGAAGCAAGGCUUAUUGAAAGGUGCAAAUUCUUGCAAAAUGGAAUUCUGUGAACAUUGUGUUCUGGGCAAGCAGAAGAGGGUAAAAUUUGGUCCAGCAAUUCACAAUACGAAAGGAAUUCUGGACUACGUUCACAGUGAUGUGUGGGGACCUACCAAAGUAGCUUCUUUGGGAGGUAUGCACUAUUUUGUUACUUUUGUUGAUGAUUAUUCAAGAAAAGUAUGGGUGUAUCUAAUGAAAAGAAAAAGUGAAGUUUUGGAUGCAUUUCUGAAAUGGAAGAAGAUGGUGGAGACUCAGACUGGUCGAAAGGUCAAACGACUUCGAUCAGAUAAUGGUACAGAGUACAAAAACGAUCCAUUUCUACAAGUAUGCCAAGAUGAGGGCAUUGUGCGACACUUCACUGUUCGGGAUACACCACAGCAAAAUGGGGUGGCAGAAUGAAUGAAUCGAACUAUACUGGAGAAAGAUCGAUGUAUGUUGUCCAAUGCUGGAUUGGGCAAAGAAUUUUGGGCUGAGGCAGUUACAUAUGCGUGCCAUCUAAUUAACCAUUUGCCAUCAGCUGCAAUAAAUGGAAAAACUCCUAUGGAGAUGUGGACUAGUAAAUCUGCUACUGAUUAUGAUUCUUUGCAUGUAUUUGGUUCCACUGCAUAUUAUCAUGUAAAAGAAUCUAAGUUAGACCCAAGAGCAAAGAAAGCAUUAUUCUUGGGUAUAACUGAUGGAGUAAAAGGAUAUCGUCUCUGGUGUCCUGAUACAAGGAAGAUUGUUUUCAGUAGAGAUGUGACUUUUGAUGAAUCAACCAUGUUGAAGUACAAGGAUUCACAAAAGGAUGACAAAACCAGUAGUACUUUGCAGCAGGUGGAGCUUGAAAAGGUUAACGAUGAUCCAGCUAAUAUUGAAGGGACAAAUGAUGAAGAGGUUCCUACCCAAGAAUCUCUACAGCAACAAGAUUCAAUUGCAUAUAGAAGGCCAAGAAGAGAGAUUCGUAAGCCUGCUCGCUUUGAUGAUAUAGUGGCCUAUGCACUUCCAAUUACAGAUAAUGAUGUUCCUUCUACUUACACAGAAGUAAUAAGUAACCCUGAUGGUGUAAAGUGGAAGCAAGCAAUGAAUGAAGAAAUGCAGUCUCUUCAUAAAAAUAAGACCUGGGAGUUGGUGAUACUACCCAAGGGAAAGAAGGCAAUUGGAUGCAAAUGGGUAUAUGCAAAGAAGGAAGGAUUUCCUGAUAAAAAUGAAAUUCGAUACAAGGCUAGAUUAGUAGCAAAGGGUUACGCUCAGAAAGAAGGAAUAGACUACAAUGAAGUGUUUUCUCCAGUUGUGAAGCAUUCGUCUAUUCGGAUUUUGCUAGCCUUGGUUGCGCAAUAUGAUCUUGAACUAGUUCAGCUUGAUGUGAAGACCGCGUUUUUACACGGUGAUUUGGAAGAGGAAAUCUAUAUGACUCAGCCAGAUGGAUUCAAGGUUGCUGGAAAAGAAAAUUGGGUUUGCAAACUAACAAAGUCGCUUUAUGGAUUGAAGCAAUCUCCGAGGCAGUGGUACAAGCGAUUUGAUCAGUUCAUGAAAUGGCAAAGGUACACAAGAAGUAAAUUUGAUCAUUGCGUGUAUUUUCAGAAGCUACAAGAAGGAACUUUCAUAUACUUGCUCUUAUAUGUUGAUGAUAUGCUAAUAGUAUCUAAGAGCAAAGUUGAGAUUGAAAGAUUGAAGACUCAACUCAAUCUCGAGUUUGAGAUGAAAGAUCUAGGAGAAGCUAAAAAGAUUCUCGGCAUGGAAAUAUGGAGAGAUAGAGCUCAUGAUAGAGUUAGCUUGUCUCAGAAGCAGUAUUUGAAAAAGGUACUACAGCAGUUUGGCAUGAACGAGCAGACAAAACCUGUAAGUACCCCAUUGGCUUCUCUUUUCAAGCUUUCUGCACAACUAUCUCCUUCGACGAAUACGGAACGAGAAUACAUGUUGCAAGUUCCGUAUUCUAAUGCAGUAGGUAGCUUGAUGUAUGCAAUGGUGUGUACAAGACCCGACAUUUCACAGGCAGUUAGUAUAGUGAGCAGGUAUAUGCAUAAUCCUGGAAAAGGACAUUGGCAAGCUGUGAAAUGGAUUCUACGGUAUAUUCAUAAGACCAUGGAUAUUGGAUUACUGUUCAAGCAGGAUACUACACUUGGUAAAUGUGUUGUUGGGUACGUUGAUUCUGAUUAUGCCGGUGAUUUGGACAAACGAAGAUCAACCACUGGUUAUGUGUUUACUCUUGCUGGAAGACCAAUAAGUUGGAAGUCUACACUGCAGUCUACAGUUGCGUUGUCAACCACAGAAGCUGAAUACAUGGCUGUAACAGAGGCUGUAAAGGAAGCUAUUUGGUUACAAGGUAUGGUUAAAACCUUGGGAUUGGUCCAGGAGCAUAUUAAUGUGUAUUGUGAUAGUCAAAGUGUUAUUCAUUUAGCAAAGAAUCAAGUCUAUCAUGCACGUACAAAGCAUAUCGAUGUACGUUUCCACUUUGUGCGGGAAAUUAUUGAUGAGGGGAAAAUUCACCUUCAGAAGAUUAAGACUGCAGAUAAUCCCGCAGAUAUGAUGACCAAGGUGGUAACAACAAUCAAGUUCGAACAUUGUUUGAACUUGAUCAAUAUUCUGCAUGUUUAACAGUUGAAGAAGGCACUAUCAAGUGUUGUUGACAAAGGCAGAGAGAAUUGUGUGAAGAUAAGAUUACUCGAAUCAAAUCUUCAAGGUGGAGAUUAUUGGGAAUUAUCCAUAUUUAUGGAAAAUCAAAGAUAUGGGUAUCAAAUAAUGGAAAGUCAAAGAUAUGGGUAUCAAAUAUUGGAAAGUCAAAGAUAUGGGUAUCAAAUAUUGGAAAGUCAAAGAUAUAGGUAUCGAGAUAUUGGUAUAAUAAAAUCUGAGAUAUUUGCAAUAAAUGGUCCCUAAAUUGUAAAGUGACUUUGCAAGUUGAUCCCUGAACCUCAACUAUAAAUAGGCAUAACCAUCUCUCAUUCUGUAUUUCAAACUUGCCAUUCUCUACUUAAGGCAUUG
RNAcentral lists this long non-coding RNA (4985 nucleotides) under Gossypium barbadense (sea-island cotton). Its description in RNAcentral is "long non-coding RNA (GBAR_LNC014488)". Lineage: Eukaryota; Viridiplantae; Streptophyta; Magnoliopsida; Malvales; Malvaceae. The record is from RNAcentral.